This 503-nucleotide ribosomal RNA is filed under the name uncultured bacterium. Its description in RNAcentral is "partial 16S ribosomal RNA". It matches the Rfam family "Bacterial small subunit ribosomal RNA", at positions 30 to 523 of the family's 1533-position model. The record is from RNAcentral.
AUUGAACGCUGGCGGCAGGCUUAACACAUGCAAGUCGAGCGGGGUGAUGGUGCUUGCACUAUCACUUAGCGGCGGACGGGUGAGUAAUGCUUAGGAAUCUGCCUAUUAGUGGGGGACAACAUCUCGAAAGGGAUGCUAAUACCGCAUACGUCCUACGGGAGAAAGCAGGGGAUCACUUGUGACCUUGCGCUAAUAGAUGAGCCGAAGUCGGAUUAGCUAGUUGGUGGGGUAAAGGCCUACCAAGGCGACGAUCUGUAGCGGGUCUGGGAGGAUGAUCCGCCACACUGGGACUGAGACACGGCCCAGACUCCUACGGGAGGCAGCAGUGGGGAAUAUUGGACAAUGGGGGGAACCCUGAUCCAGCCAUGCCGCGUGUGUGAAGAAGGCCUUAUGGUUGUAAAGCACUUUAAGCGAGGAGGAGGCUCUUUUGGUUAAUACCCAAGAUGAGUGGACGUUACUCGCAGAAUAAGCACCGGCUAACUCUGUGCCAGCCGCCGCAGUAA